GCUGGGCGUGGUGGCGGGCGCCUGUAAUCCCAGCUACUCGGGAGGCUGAGGCAGGAGAAUCACUUGAACCCGGGAGGCUGAGGUUGCAGUGAGCUGAGAUCGCACCACUGCACUCCAGCCUGGGCAACAGAGUGAGACUCGGUCUCAA
RNAcentral lists this small RNA (148 nucleotides) under Pongo abelii (Sumatran orangutan). RNAcentral's name for it is "Metazoan signal recognition particle RNA (ENSPPYG00000031216.1)". It matches the Rfam family "Metazoan signal recognition particle RNA". Rfam says of the family: The signal recognition particle (SRP) is a universally conserved ribonucleoprotein. It is involved in the co-translational targeting of proteins to membranes. Lineage: Eukaryota; Metazoa; Chordata; Mammalia; Primates; Hominidae. The record is from Rfam by way of RNAcentral.